This 99-nucleotide transfer RNA is filed under the name Lentinula raphanica. It matches the Rfam family "tRNA". Rfam says of the family: Transfer RNA (tRNA) molecules are approximately 80 nucleotides in length. The record is from Rfam by way of RNAcentral. Lineage: Eukaryota; Fungi; Basidiomycota; Agaricomycetes; Agaricales; Omphalotaceae.
GGGCGUAUGGUCUAGAGGUAUGAUACCUGCUUUGGGUGCUUGAGAUACUAUAGCAGAAUCCUUUGCAGGGGGUCUUCGGUUCGAAUCCGGAUUCGCCCC